UCGAGAAUUUUUCUCAAUGGGGGAAACCCUGAAGGAGCGACGCCGCGUGGAGGAUGAAGGUCUUCGGGUUGUAAACUCCUGUCAUUUGGGAACAAGUGCCGGUACGUAACUGCUACCGGCUUGAUAGUACCAGAAGAGGAAGGGACGGCUAACUCUGUGCCAGCAGCCGCGGUAAUACAGAGGUCUCAAGCGUUGUUCGGAUUCAUUGGGCGUAAAGGGUGUGUAGGUGGCGCCGUAAGUGGGGUGUGAAAUUUCGGAGCUUAACUCCGAAACUGCAUUCCAUACUGCGGUGCUUGAGGACUGGAGAGGAGACUGGAAUUUACGGUGUAGCAGUGAAAUGCGUAGAUAUCGUAAGGAAGACCAGUGGCGAAGGCGGGUCUCUGGACAGUUCCUGACACUGAGACACGAAGGCCAGGGGAGCAAACGGGAUUAGAUACCCCCGUAGUCC
RNAcentral lists this ribosomal RNA (448 nucleotides) under uncultured bacterium. Its description in RNAcentral is "bacterial SSU rRNA". It matches the Rfam family "Bacterial small subunit ribosomal RNA", at positions 355 to 796 of the family's 1533-position model. The record is from RNAcentral.